This is a long non-coding RNA of Bombus huntii, 1637 nucleotides long. RefSeq lists it as uncharacterized. The record is from RefSeq and is a predicted model, not a curated record. Lineage: Eukaryota; Metazoa; Arthropoda; Insecta; Hymenoptera; Apidae. The transcript is spliced from 2 exons.
CUGGCAGAGGCUGGUUCUCCUACCUUCUCACCUCCGCAGCCCCCCUUUUUCUCCUUUGCCGCCACCACCACCGCCACCCACCUUUACCUCCCUUUCCAUCUACCUCGAGCUCAGGCCAUCCUCUUCCAACACGCAAAUGUUUUUCGCUCGCUCGCACCUUUACCCCAUGUUGCUACUACGGUCACGAUCGGGCAAUCGUGUCCCUCUACCACCGCCAUCAUCGCCAUCCUCGCCACUACCACCGGCUACUGGUUACGUUUCCUGUACAUGCGGUUUUGUCCGAAUCAUUUGCGCAAAGUCCCGCCUCGAGAACUUUUCGGUACUGGUUGAGAGCGUGCGCCAGGGGUACACCAUCACAGUACUCGGGUAAGGUUGGGAUUUUUCCGAACGGAGCCAAUCUUUCAGACAAGGUAAAUGUUCGUAAAACAACCUGUAGAUUUCCGAUUUCAAAAUUUUUUUUUUCUUUUUAACCUUUUCUCUGGUUCUUUGCUAACAAUUUUUAAUUAUUUCGAAUAAUUUAUUAUCUUUAAAUUAAAACAGUGUGAAAUACAGUAGCGUUAAAUGUUACUGAAUUUAUAGAAUAUUUAUACUUUCUUUACGUAAUUUGCAGAUAUUCGGAAAUUCUUUUGAAUAAUUUGUUCUUUGAGUUGAAACAAUGUAACGUACAAAGGCAGUCAAAGUAUUAUCGAAUUUGUAGAAAGAACGAAGGACUUGUUAUUUUUUACGUUAUUUCCUAUGAUAUAUUCUUACGUGAUAUUUUUUAAUGUUACUCUUGUUAAUCAUCAAAUGAAGAGAAGAAUGAAAUUAUUUGAUAUUUCCUUUUUUCAUUUAUAUAUUCGUUACUUUAUUACACAUUUUUCGUCAAAUAUCUUAUACAUAUUUCCUAUUUAAAAUAUCGUUUUACGAGAUUAUUGGCAUCAGAGGCAGCUUUGUGUCAAUCAUUAACGAUUACAUUGUGAUAAACUAUUGAUCGAACGAAUUUUCUCCCCUUCUUACAAUAUUAAUACUUAAUUUGCAUUAAAAUUAUCUUCACUUCAAUAUCGGAUAAUUUUAUUAUCACCUAUUUUCUCGAUUUUAUUCGUAUAGAGAUAUUUCUUGACAUUGUUCUUUUUCCUUUUACUGUAAAUCACGUUACUGCACAUAAAUUGAAUCAGUACAUCGAAUUUCAUUUAUUUAUCUUACUUCAUAAGCAUAUUUCUUGUAAGAAAUUACGCUGCUCGAAAUAAUUGGACUAAUUAAGCUUAUGUAUUUAUUUAAUUGUAUAAUUUAGGAGAUUAUCUCUUAAUUAUUUUGAGCAGCACACGUAAAAGUACUACAGAUAUCGGUCUUUUUAUAUUAAUCGAUUCGACAGCCAACGUUCGUUCGUUUAGCUUAAAAUUAUACUCAGAACGAAAUAUCGAAUUGUGAAAUUUUUUAAUCGAUUUUACCAACAUUUGUUUAUCCAUUUUCCAAAUUACAGACGAUAUGAUGUGUCGCUUUUCGAGAUUUUUAAAAAUAUUUUAAGACGAAAAUAUUAAACAAUUUUGCAGACAUGUAAAAUUGAUACAUCAAGAAAACAAAAUAUUAUGCAUCUCUAGGAUUGACAAAAUUAUUAUGUCGGUUUUCAAUAAAUUAAAAAAUCGAUGUGCACUAAAAAA